UACGGAGGGAGCUAGCGUUGUUCGGAAUUACUGGGCGUAAAGCGCGCGUAGGCGGCUUUGUAAGUUAGAGGUGAAAGCCCGGAGCUCAACUCCGGAACUGCCUUUAAAACUGCAUCGCUUGAAUCCAGGAGAGGUGAGUGGAAUUCCGAGUGUAGAGGUGAAAUUCGUAGAUAUUCGGAAGAACACCAGUGGCGAAGGCGACACACUGGCCCAUUACUGACGCUGAGGCUCGAAAGCGUGGGGAGCAAACAGG
Molecule: ribosomal RNA, 253 nt
Filed under: uncultured bacterium
Lineage: Bacteria
Description: partial 16S ribosomal RNA
Rfam family: Bacterial small subunit ribosomal RNA
Source: RNAcentral